Molecule: ribosomal RNA, 424 nt
Filed under: uncultured prokaryote
Description: bacterial SSU rRNA
Rfam family: Bacterial small subunit ribosomal RNA
Source: RNAcentral
UGGGGAAUAUUGGACAAUGGGGGCAACCCUGAUCCAGCCAUGCCGCGUGCGUGAAGAAGGCCUUAGGGUUGUAAAGCGCUUUCAGCGGGGACGAUGAUGACGGUACCCGCAGAAGAAGCCCCGGCUAACUCCGUGCCAGCAGCCGCGGUAAUACGGAGGGGGCAAGCGUUGUUCGGAAUUACUGGGCGUAAAGGGCGCGUAGGCGGCACAUCAAGUCAGAGGUGAAAGCCCCGGGCUCAACCUGGGAAUUGCCUUUGAAACUGAUGAGCUAGAGUUCGGAAGAGGAUAGCGGAAAUCCCAGUGGAGAGGUGAAAGUCGUAGGUAUUGGGAAGAACACCAGUGGCGAAGGCGGCUAUCUGGUCCGGUACUGACGCUGAGGUGCGAAAGCGUGGGGAGCAAACAGGAUUAGAUACCCCUGUAGUCC